This 24-nucleotide non-coding RNA is filed under the name Arabidopsis thaliana (thale cress). The record is from RNAcentral. Lineage: Eukaryota; Viridiplantae; Streptophyta; Magnoliopsida; Brassicales; Brassicaceae.
AGUUCCUUAUGGGCCUAGACUCUC